Oryctolagus cuniculus (rabbit) is the source of this 2786-nucleotide long non-coding RNA. NCBI's taxonomy places the organism in Eukaryota, Metazoa, Chordata, Mammalia, Lagomorpha, Leporidae. The record is from Ensembl.
AUCCUGGGGUCUUUGACCCCAACUCCAAGGAAGCAAUACAAGUGAACAUUCAGCUGCAAUCUAUGCAUUUUGUAUUGGCAUCAGCUCAGGAGGACUCCAUGCCACUUUUGAAUAACAACAGCAGAAGCACUGGCAAGUGUGAACUUUCAAAGAAGGUCCAUUCUUUCAGUAAAAUAAAAAUUACUAGUAGCGUACCUGGAGAUGUCAUUUUUGUCAAACCCAUUGUCUGGUUGUGAUGGUUAGAUGCAUCUUUCCUUUGGAUUGCCUAUCACCUUAGCACUGGGAAAUGCACAUUUUUUUCACGUAGCUUUGAAUGCAUUUGUGAACUGCAUCUGCCUUUCCCUGGGUGGGAGGCGGGAGCAUCUCACCAACACAUCACCACACACGCCACUCUUCUGUUUCCUUAGAUAGGUCGGUUGUUCCUGAUAGAAAUUUCCUUCCCUGCAUUUUAUAAUGUCUUCAUUCCUCUUCCAAGACUCCAGCUGCUGAGACUAUUCAUCUUUCCAGCUAGAACCAAUGGAUGCCUUUCCAAUGGUGUUCUGCAUAUCCCCUCCGUCUUUUUCAAUGUUUGUAUUCUGCACAAGUCUUGGCAACUACUACUGGAAUGUCAGAGAUGAGGAAUCUAAAGAUGCUGCAGUUCUGUUGGAGUUCUGCCUCAAGUCACACAGCAGAUGGUCAGGUAAGAACAAGUCCUUGGAAACAAGUUCUUGUUGGCCAUUCAUGAUUGAACACUUUGCUCCUCUAUGACCUGGCGCUGCACCUGUACUCUUGCUGCUUUAGUCCACCAUCCUGGACCAAAGCAUGAGUCUCAUCAGGGCCAAGAAUGGGGCAGGGUUGAGGAGUAGAGAGAUAGAGUCUGGAAGGGCCAAGUGCAAGGCUGGCUACUACUAAUGAUGCAAGUGACACAUAUGUAGGCUGUGCAUGAUUCCUCCACACAAAUUCUACAUAGUUUAUGGUGAUGUUUUGAUAGCUAUAAUCUUGGUUAUGAUAGUUCUCUAUACUUAAAAAAGAACUCAGAAUGUGUAUAAAAACAGAGGUUAGAGAUAAGAAUUUGUGGUCUAGGUACUACCUCCCCAUAUAUAAGUGUGUAUAUAUAUAUACAUAUAUAAAUUUUAUAUAUAGAUAUAUAAUUUUUCUUCCUUACCUGAAUUCAGAAAUCAUAUUUAUUUCCCCAUUUUAUAGAGAAGAAGGUUGAGGCUGAGAAGGAUGAAACAAUUGUCCCAAAGUCGUACCAUUUAUAAGUAGGUGUGCCAGGAUCAGCACCUAGCUUUGUAUGACUCCAAAACAUACAGAGUUCUCCUUGGGACAUGUUCCCCUCAAAGGAAUAGGUGUUAGUGAAUAUGGUUAAUUAAAUUGCCUUUUCACUCUCCAAGCAUUUAUUUUAGAUGCACCAACUUUAAUUUCCAUCCUCUGUGCAGUUACUAAUUGGGAGGAUUUCCACCUGUCUCAAUUGAAUUAAGCAGGACUGAGUCUCAAAAUCAAUGUUACUCUAUAAUCCCCAGAGCUUCAAGACUGUUUUUAGGGCAGCCAGGUAGAUAUUAGCCUAUGUGUGUCAGAGGGGCCAAAGAAGAUGAGCAAUUUUAAAGAAAAUAUAUUUAUGUGCAAUGGAACGAGGAAACAAGUCCUGAAAGCAGGACCCAGAGUCUUGUUCAUCUCCCCUAGCCCAGGUGCCCUUGCCUAUUCUUUAUCAAAAGGAGUUCACUGACUUGAGACAGUGGUACAGCUUGUCUGACAAGGUUAUAAUCACUGGAAUGAAGGAGUCGUUUGCUUCUCCAGUAGAUAAGAAACCCUCUUUGGAGGGGUUUGUUUCGAUGAAUUCUACUUCCAAAUAUUCCCUACUCAUAGUUCCCAGAAGAGGGAGGAGGGGAAGAAGUAAUGGGGGACCCAUACUCAUAUCCAUAAAAAUCCGCUAUGAAUACAGACUGGGCUCUCAGUCGUAACUGAGAUGUCUGCUUGGUCUAUCAGGUGUAUGAAUUUCUUUCUCUUCAUCUUUUCAAAGAAACUAUGCUUAAAUCAUCACCUCCUCAUCUGCUGUGUCGUCGGCUACAUUCUUUUUUUUUUUAUUUAUUUAUUUUAUUUGACAGAUAGAGGUAGACAGUGAGAGAGAGAGAGACAGAGAGAAAGGACUUCCUUCCGUUGGUUCACUCUCCAUAUGGCCCUACAGCUGGAGCUGUGCUGAUCUGAAGCCAGGAGUCAGGUGCUUCCUCCUGGUCUCCCAUGAGGGUGCAGGGCCCAAGCACUUGGGCCAUCCUCCACUGCCCUCCUGGGCCACAGCAGAGAGCUGGAAUGGAAGAGGAGGAACUGGGACUAGAACCUGGCGACCAUGUGGGAUGCCGGUGCAGCAGGCAAAGGAUUAACCUAAUGAGCCAUGGCAAGGGCCCUCUUUGGCUAUAUUCUUCAGCAUCCGUAGAGCAAGUUCCCAGACUUUGAAUCAGUAGCAAUACUGUCAUCAAUAGAACCUCAAACAUCAGGAAUUAUUGCUGUAGGGAAAACAGUAAUUAAUUGUGGGGGACACUGAAUCCAGCGAGGCCUAGAGGAACUUCCUGAGCCUGCCUGGAAUUUGAAAACCUGUCUUUUAAGUUUCAAAUCCCUGGUAGCAAACACCCCAACCGCAGGGCGCUUCUGCCUAAGGAUCCUUAAGGUGGUAUAAUAGGAGUGGCUAAGACCCUUUUGCAUCAUAACACCCCACCCCUUGCCCGAAUCAGCUCAUCAGCUCUAUACCAUCCUUUCUGUACCUCAGCUAUAUAUACACCUCCCUUUUACAAUAAAGUGAGACCCUGCUUCCA